RNAcentral lists this ribosomal RNA (826 nucleotides) under Butyricicoccus sp. AM18-35. Its description in RNAcentral is "partial 23S ribosomal RNA". It matches the Rfam family "Bacterial large subunit ribosomal RNA", at positions 2101 to 2925 of the family's 2925-position model. The record is from RNAcentral. Lineage: Bacteria; Bacillati; Bacillota; Clostridia; Eubacteriales; Butyricicoccaceae.
UCACUGUAGCUUGAUAUUGGAUCUCGGUAUUCCAUGUACAGGAUAGGUGGGAGACUUGGAAGUAAGCGCGCCAGCGUUUAUGGAGUCAACCUUGGGAUACCACUCUUGGGAUAUUGGGAUUCUAACCUGCGACCAUGAAUCUGGUCGGGGGACACUGUCAGGUGGGCAGUUUGACUGGGGCGGUCGCCUCCAAAAGAGUAACGGAGGCGCUCAAAGGUUCGUUCAGCACGGAUGGAAAUCGUGCACUGAGUGUAAACGCAUAAACGAGCCUAACUGCGAGAAUGACGGUUCGAGCAGUAACGAAAGUUGGAGUUAGUGAUCCGGCGGUAUGUGAAUGGAAAUGCCGUCGCUCAACGGAUAAAAGCUACCCUGGGGAUAACAGGCUGAUCUCCCCCAAGAGUCCACAUCGACGGGGAGGUUUGGCACCUCGAUGUCGGCUCAUCGCAUCCUGGGGCUGAAUUCGGUCCCAAGGGUUUGGCUGUUCGCCAAUUAAAGCGGUACGCGAGCUGGGUUCAGAACGUCGUGAGACAGUUCGGUCCCUAUCUGUUGCGGGCGCAGGAAUAUUGAGAGGAGCUGUCCUUAGUACGAGAGGACCGGGAUGGACGUACCGCUGGUGCACCAGUUGUUCUGCCAAGGGCAUAGCUGGGUAGCUAAGUACGGACGAGAUAAACGCUGAAGGCAUCUAAGCGUGAAACUCCCCUCGAGAUAAGUGUUCCCAUCCUUCGGGAGUAAGGCCCCUUGUAGACUACAAGGUUGAUAGGUCAGGAGUGGAAGUGCAGUAAUGUAUGGAGCGGACUGAUACUAAUAGGCCGAGGGCUUGACCUUA